AGUCGCCGCGGUAAUACGAAAGGGGCUAGCGUUGUUCGGAAUUACUGGGCGUAAAGGGCGCGUAGGCGGCCAUUCAAGUUAGAUGUGAAAGCCCUGGGCUCAACCCCGGAACUGCAUCCGAUACUGCCAUGCUAGAGGAUUGGAGAGGUAGCUGGAAUUCUUGGUGUAGCAGUGAAAUGCGUGGAGAUCAAGAGGAACCCUCGUGGCGAAAGCGAGCUACUGGACAAUAACUGACGCUGAGGCUCGAAGGCCAGGGUAGCGAAAGGGAUUAGAUACCCCGGUAGUCCCUGUCUCUUAUACA
RNAcentral lists this ribosomal RNA (301 nucleotides) under uncultured bacterium. Its description in RNAcentral is "partial 16S ribosomal RNA". It matches the Rfam family "Bacterial small subunit ribosomal RNA", at positions 510 to 809 of the family's 1533-position model. The record is from RNAcentral.